Rhododendron griersonianum is the source of this 84-nucleotide non-coding RNA. The record is from the annotation of a GenBank genome assembly. NCBI's taxonomy places the organism in Eukaryota, Viridiplantae, Streptophyta, Magnoliopsida, Ericales, Ericaceae.
CCAAGGGUUUGGCCAAGUGGUCUUGGCCUGGGACUUAGGAUCCUAAGAUCUCAGGUUCGAUUAUCCUGGCCAACAACUCUUGGG